GUCCCAUCAGCCUGAGGGGUGAAUACAGGGGUUACGACAGAAAUUAAAUUCCAAGAAGACAGUGAUGAAUGACUCAUAUCACAGGCCACAUGUUCCUCCUCGGGAAGCACAACACAGAUGAGUAUAGAGACCAUCUGGAUGUGCAUGAUCAUCCGGAAGACUCCAGUUAUUUAAAAACCACAAAUGGUGUCAAAACAGGAAAAUGUACCAAAUGUUUGACCAGCCUGGAUUAUUUCGUAAAUGCUUCAAUUAAUUUCUCAGCUACCGCUCUGUGAAUAACAAGCCCAAUUAUACCUUUGUACAUCUAUUGACGUCAUAGUCAGAAUGUUUCCUAUUGAUUCCUGCUAUGGAUUGUCAUUUUGGUUCAUUUCCCGUGUACCUAACGGUCUCACUGGAAAGUUAUCAUCAUUAAAGUUUUACUGUGAGACUCAAAGUUUUGAAAGACAGUUUUAAAGACAAAAGGUCACUAUCCAGAUGACAAAUAAUGAGGGUCUCUUUCUUCUGACAUAUGUUCAGGUUUUUAAAUAGCCUACAUCUCAUCUCAUACAUACAGCAAGACAUGUAGUUAUUAAAAUGGACAUUCACAGAUUAAUCACUCACAAGUAGAGUCACUGCUCAAUCAUCUACUAUUCACUAUUU
Cyprinus carpio carpio is the source of this 639-nucleotide long non-coding RNA. The record is from Ensembl. Lineage: Eukaryota; Metazoa; Chordata; Actinopteri; Cypriniformes; Cyprinidae.